Molecule: ribosomal RNA, 497 nt
Filed under: uncultured bacterium
Lineage: Bacteria
Description: partial 16S ribosomal RNA
Rfam family: Bacterial small subunit ribosomal RNA
Source: RNAcentral
GAUGAACGCUGGCGGCGUGCCUAAUACAUGCAAGUCGAGCGAACAGAUCAGGAGCUUGCUCCUCUGACGUUAGCGGCGGGCGGGUGUGUAACACGUGGAUAACCUACCUAUAAGACUGGGAUAACUUCGGGAAACCGGAGCUAAUACCGGAUAAUAUAUUGCACCGCAUGGUGCGAUAGUGAAAGACGGCUUUGCUGUCUCUUCUAGCUGGAUCCGGGCGGUAUUAGCUGGUUGGUAAGGUCACGGCCUAUCACGGCAAGGAUGCGUAGCCGACCUGAGGGGGUGGUCGCCGACCCGGGAAGUGAGACACGGUCCAGACUCCUGCGGGAGGCAGCAGUAGGGAAUCUGCCGCAAUGGGCGGAAGCCUGACGGAGCAACGCGGAGUGAGUGAUGGAGGUCUUGGGAUCGUAAAACUCUGUUAUGAGGGAAGAACAACUGUGUAAGUAGCUAUGCAGUUCUUGACGGUACCUGAUCAGAAAGCCACGGCUAACUACGUG